This 574-nucleotide small RNA is filed under the name Pan troglodytes (chimpanzee). Its description in RNAcentral is "processed transcript". The record is from RNAcentral. Lineage: Eukaryota; Metazoa; Chordata; Mammalia; Primates; Hominidae.
AGGAUUCUAAAAAGAGCAAUGGUUCACAAGGAAACUUCUGCCUCAGGUGGGGAGAGGAGUCCAUAGAUCAGGGAAACUUAUGUCUUGGUGAAAUGGAAGACCAUGUUUCUCAACACCUGUUGCCAGGUUACUUGAAUUUCCAUUAGAGGAGCAGAAAUGCCACCAAUGCCAAGUGCCCCACCUGUGCAUCCACCUCCAGAUGGAGGAUGGGGUUGGAUUGUGGUUGGAGCAGCUUUUAUCUCCAUUGGAUUUUCCUAUGCAUUCCCCAAAGCUGUCACCGUAUUCUUCAAAGAAAUUCAGCAAAUAUUCCACACUACCUACAGUGAAAUAGCAUGGAUUUCAUCCAUUAUGCUGGCUGUUAUGUACGCAGGAGGUAGAAUAUUUUAAAGCUUUUUGAUCUUCACAUCCUUGAGGAUUCAGUGCAGCUUUACUCAAUCAGGAUCAUUCCUAGGGCCUCUCUACUGUCUGAGAUACAAUAGUAUUGUAAUUAGGCCACUUAAUAAACCUACAGUGGCUUCUAAGUGUUCAAGUGAAAGGAAGAGUUGCAAGUCUCUCAUUUGAAAUCAAAAGCUAG